RNAcentral lists this unclassified non-coding RNA (337 nucleotides) under soil metagenome. Its description in RNAcentral is "partial contains 5.8S ribosomal RNA, internal transcribed spacer 2, and large subunit ribosomal RNA". The stretch from base 1 to 120 matches the Rfam family "5.8S ribosomal RNA", at positions 35 to 154 of the family's 154-position model. The record is from RNAcentral.
GAUGAAGAACGUAGCGAAAUGCGAUAAGUAGUGUGAAUUGCAGAAUUCAGUGAAUCAUCGAAUCUUUGAACGCACAUUGCGCCCCUUGGUAUUCCAUGGGGCAUGCCUGUUCGAGCGUCAUUUGUACCUUCAAGCUCUGCUUGGUGUUGGGUGUUUGUCUCGCCUCUGCGUGUAGACUCGCCUCAAAACAAUUGGCAGCCGGCGUAUUGAUUUCGGAGCGCAGUACAUCUCGCGCUUUGCACUCAUAACGGCGACGUCCAAAAGUACAUUUUUACACUCUUGACCUCGGAUCAGGUAGGGAUACCCGCUGAACUUAAGCAUAUCAAUAAGCGGAGGA